GGUCUUAUAGUCAAGUUAUGAUUUUAAAUUGCAAAUUUAAAGGAGGGGCAAUCCCUAAGGCUU
Molecule: transfer RNA, 63 nt
Filed under: Trachys troglodytiformis
Lineage: Eukaryota; Metazoa; Arthropoda; Insecta; Coleoptera; Buprestidae
Description: tRNA-Cys
Source: RNAcentral